RNAcentral lists this long non-coding RNA (1001 nucleotides) under Mus spicilegus (steppe mouse). RNAcentral describes it as "lncRNA (ENSMSIG00000000597.1)". The record is from RNAcentral. Lineage: Eukaryota; Metazoa; Chordata; Mammalia; Rodentia; Muridae.
CCUCAUAACAAGAGAAGUAACACAGCUCUCGAAUGGACAUCAUAGUUGAAUGAUGUCACAAUGCCAGGAGUCUUUGCAGGGAAGAGUUCACUUCUUCAAACAGGAGGUCAGAGAGCUUGGAGGUGGUAGGCACAGAUAGAUUAAAAACUGGCACACAAGACCUAGAGUUCAGAUGAAUUAAUAAUGUCUCCUUUUUAUUGUUGUGGAUUUGCUAUUGUUCAGGUUUUGUUUGCUUGUGUGUUGAAACAGGGACUUACUAUAGAGUUCUGGCUUGUCUAGAAUUCAUGACAUAGACCACACUGGCUUGACUUUCAUGUGGUCUUCUUCCUCUGCCUCUGGAGUACUGGGAUUACAGGUAUGGGCCACUGCUUCCAACAACUCAGUACUCAAGUGAAGCCACAACUGGCCCAAGAACCUUCCAGUAUGUUCCACCUCUGAAGGUUCACAAAGUUCCACCCCCACAAUGGGUCCAACUUUCCAACCAACACACACACCCAUGUUGGCACAGGAAUGGGGGAUGCUCGAGAGUCCAAAGCAUAGCUCAUCCAUGGAGUUAUGUUGUGAAUGCUGAUGAAAGCAUGUGUGUCCAGGUGCUGGUCUCCUGGCGGUCUCCCACUUUAAGGAAGGACUCCCAGUUUCCUGUUGUACCGUAUUGUAUCCUCCGUCUCCGGCUGUGAUGAGGUCUCUGGAGCGCCGGCUGGUUUUGGCUCUCAGUUUUAGAGGGCCUCAGCCUGUCUAGGUGGGGAAGGAGUGUGGCUGCCUCAGGAGAGGAGCGCCCCGUGUCAAUACUGCCUCAGUUUGUCAACUUGUCCAAGUCCGGGAGGCAGACAAAGCCAGCCCAGAGCUUUCAAAUGUCUACGCCUGGUGAGCGCUGCUGAUAGCCAGGCCCAAUUCCUAAUGGCUCCCUAGCCUUCUCACAAGCUGGGGACUGUGAAGUCAAAGCAUCCUGUGAGGGACGCUUUCGAUUCAGCCCCCAACACCAUCAACUUCUUCGUUUCUUU